This 579-nucleotide long non-coding RNA is filed under the name Sorghum bicolor (sorghum). RNAcentral describes it as "long non-coding RNA (SBIC_LNC018572)". The record is from RNAcentral. Lineage: Eukaryota; Viridiplantae; Streptophyta; Magnoliopsida; Poales; Poaceae.
UGGAAAAUAACUCUAACUUGUAUGGAUCACCACGGCGUCAUAUGGACUCCAACUGGGAUGUUCCUAUACUUGUUGGAAAGCUCAUGAAGUCUACUUUCCAAUGGGUCCAACCACAUAUCUAUGCGGCUUAUGAGUAGGGCUGGUUUUAGUUUAGUCCUUUAGAGUUUUGAGUUCUUGUCACCAUCUAGUCACAACUGCGUCCAAUCUAUUGUGGGUUGGAAUUUGAGUAGAUCUUGAUAAUAGGUGCAGCCACUUGUUUGUCUAUUCUGCGUUUCCAUCAACGUGAUCCAAAAGGAAAGAUAGCACUUCAUACUUGUGCUAGAUAUAUUGAAUUUUGAGGUUCAGCCUUACUCUAGUGAGAGGGUGAGAGUGGUGAAGUGAUAUUUUGUACUAUUUCGUUUAUAUAAUCAGGUUUUGAGGUUCCCCAAAUAAAAGAAAAGAGAAAGAAAAAAAAUAAAGAAAAAAAAGAAAAAAAGAAAGAAAAAAAAAAAUCAAAAGAAGGGGAUUGUUGUUCCUUUUGUUUCCAGUAGGGCUGCUCAUUUUGUUUCUAGUGGUGUGCUGUGUUUUCCCUUUGUGUCC